This 75-nucleotide transfer RNA is filed under the name Nitrososphaerota archaeon. Its description in RNAcentral is "tRNA-Val". It matches the Rfam family "tRNA". From Rfam's summary of the family: Transfer RNA (tRNA) molecules are approximately 80 nucleotides in length. Their secondary structure includes four short double-helical elements and three loops (D, anti-codon, and T loops). RNAcentral also lists the same sequence under 1 other name. The record is from RNAcentral. Lineage: Archaea; Thermoproteati; Nitrososphaerota.
GGGCCGGUGGUGUAGCCUGGUUAGCACAUCGCCCUCACACGGCGGGGGUCGCCGGUUCAAAUCCGGCCCGGCCCA